RNAcentral lists this unclassified non-coding RNA (218 nucleotides) under uncultured Entolomataceae. Its description in RNAcentral is "sequence contains ITS2". The record is from RNAcentral. Lineage: Eukaryota; Fungi; Basidiomycota; Agaricomycetes; Agaricales; Entolomataceae.
AAUUCUCAACCUUUCAAGCUCUUAAAGGGCUAGUCAGGCUUGGAUUGUGGAAGAUUUGCUGGCUUGUAAAGAUAGUCAGCUCUUCUGAAAUGCAUUAGCAAAAGAUUCAUGGCUGAUCAUCAUUGGUAUGAUAAUCAUGUUGUCUUUUUUAUACCAUUGGGACAUCAGUUUUAUUUUGCUUCUAACAGUCUGGAAGGUUCCAGACAGCUUUGGACAAU